AAGUCGUAACAAGGUUUCCGUAGGUGAACCUGCGGAAGGAUCAUUAACACGUAUCCAAACGUUAAAACCCCCCCGUGAACCUACAUCCUGCUCUUGUAACCCGCGUAGUUCGCAGUCUCUGAUAAAUCAUAGCCCGGAAAGUUGUAGUGAUUCAGAGACCUCUGGCUACGUGCGAACAUUGGAACAGUCACAAUCGAGCGGUAGUUCUAUAGGCAAUGUUUCCCCAAGCAGUCAGUGUCGGAAAGUGUCAUUGAUUGUGCAAGGCUAGCGCUUCUACGAUUCCUGUAGACCGUACACAUAACCCCACAGUUUAAUGUGAAGCUCAAUGUAAUACAUUGGGUAAAAAAACCGAACAACUGUUAACAAUGGAUAUCUUGGUUCUC
RNAcentral lists this unclassified non-coding RNA (383 nucleotides) under fungal sp. Its description in RNAcentral is "partial internal transcribed spacer region". The stretch from base 1 to 46 matches the Rfam family "Eukaryotic small subunit ribosomal RNA", at positions 1786 to 1831 of the family's 1831-position model. The record is from RNAcentral. Lineage: Eukaryota; Fungi.